GCGUCCAUUGUCUAAUGGAUAGGACAUAGGUCUUCUAAACCUAUCGUAUAGGUUCAAAUCCUAUUGGACGCA
Molecule: transfer RNA, 72 nt
Filed under: Myriophyllum sibiricum
Lineage: Eukaryota; Viridiplantae; Streptophyta; Magnoliopsida; Saxifragales; Haloragaceae
Also listed under: 3 other names
Description: tRNA-Arg
Rfam family: tRNA
About the family: Transfer RNA (tRNA) molecules are approximately 80 nucleotides in length. Their secondary structure includes four short double-helical elements and three loops (D, anti-codon, and T loops).
Source: RNAcentral